CUUGCCCGAGUUUUUGAAACCAUCGAGGCUUCCAAGAUUCCUCGCAAAUGGAACCAUAAGAAAUGUUGCUUAUUGUUUGGGAAGGUGGUUAUGGGUUCAUAUGCUAACUGGUUGUUUAGUGCAGGUAAUAAACUUUUGCUUAGAUUUUAUCAUAUUGCCCGUUUGUUUACCUUCAUUUUGAGGAAUUGGAAUUUAACUAAUAGAGUAGACUAUUUUUUUAGAACGUGACAUUCCACAACUUUACAAAGUGUAUAUAUAAGCCUAUCUCGAAUUCAUGGGGUAAGAUAUGGAAAUUAAUUCUAUAGAUUUACAUGCUACUUUUCUAAUGUACAAUUUAUAGCACGCUCUUCUACUUGCUUCUCUAUAUGUAGUGUAUAACUAUCUCUCUGAUAUGAUUUAGGAUAACAUACAAAUACAUUACAUGAUAAAUAUAUUAACUCAAUUAGUUUUGUCUAAAUUAUAAUUAUUAGAAUAGAAUUUAAUUCCAAUGAAACAAACGGGGCCUAAAUGAUAAUAAAUUCAAUGCAUCAAGCCAUCAAGAUAGCGUGCCCUGCUAGCCUCAUCCUUGGUGCUGAUAUGCAUAGCAAGCACAUUUGCUCACAGUUCACCACAACUGACUUCAUAAAGUUGUAAUGUCACCAUAUGUUUUAAAAAGUGUGUCAUCAAACCUGUCCUCAUAUUUCUUAGGACAGCAAAUGAACCAACUUCUGAAGUGGAAGAUUCAUAAAUCUUGUAUUCAUCAUGAUGAGCAUAAUAAAAUUAAUUUGAACUGACGAUGAGGGAAAAACUAGAGUUGUUAUCCCUCAUUUUUCUGGUACCUAAAAUAGUGCUGGUCCCAAUAGGGCUUGGUGCAUUUCAUAUUUUAGAAUGGUAGAAUCCAAAUAUUUGCAACCUAAAACAUCGAUCCAGCCAAAAUGUUAGUGGAAAUAGGUAGUGUUUAGAACGAAUAAUUUUGAUAGUAGCAAGCUAAAAAAGUUCCCAUGAAACUGGUAUCUGUUAAGAGGUAAUGCAGAGCAUGUACCAUAAACAUUUUCUAUUGUCUAUAGUUUGUUGGAUUCGUUCUUUGUGAUUUAUAGCACCCAAACGUUUGGUAAGCAUAUAGUCCCCACUAGAUGGUAAAUAGAAGUAGGUGUAGCCAUACAACAUCUGGUCGAUAUCCAAAAUUAUACAAUAUUUCAAGUAACUUUUAAACCGUGUUGCGCUAUUGCAUAUUUGUAGAUACUUUAUUUUGAUGACAGUUUCUAGAUUUAUCAUAACUUUUUUCAACACUACUAAUGCUAUCAAGUGUAUAAAAACACAAUAAUUUUGAUUAUAUAAAUAAAAAGAGGCGUUCAUUGGCCUUUGCCUUAGACCUAGACUCAUGGCGUUCACUUGUAGGUGCCACCCGUAUGACUAUUUUUUGUGAGAAGUAAUUGGAUGGGUGAUGAACUGUCCUUAUGACAGUCAGGAUCACUUAUGCCUAGAGCAAAGGCUUCCUUUGUACAUUUACAUGGCGAUGUAUCAUCACUAUACAUUUUUCUUACAGCUUGCUGUCAAAAUCCUUCUCCAAACAGGCCACCAGACUACCUUGUAUUCUUUUUACGUACAUCUUUUCUGAACUAGGACCCUAGCACCAUGUGCAUUAACAACACAAAUGAGUAAGGAAGUUUGUUGCUCGCUAUUAUGGACAACAGGACAUACAUUAGGAAUUAUUUAUAUUUAAAUCGUGGGUAUCCCAUGCUUUUUGUGUAGAUUUCUAACAUAACCAAGGUGUUCCUUUGUCAUGUUGGGUUUUAGCUCUGUUUUGGACCAAUCAGUCUGAAAACAGAAGGGUUGUAUCUACAAGCAAUUGAUCUUCUCAGCUUUGAACUCUAUUAAUGUUUAUACUAUUGAAUGAUCGACAUACUGAUAAAAUUUGAUGUUAAACUUGAAGGUCGAUGAUGAGGUAUAUGAUGCUUUGGUCGAACACCUUUCUAUCUUGGAGGAUAUUGAAAAUUUUGAUUCAAAGUAAGUCUUUCCUGUUGGUGCUAUUUCAGGACAUUGAUCGUUGCAUGGUCAUGUUCUUCUAUUGUAGACUUGUAGUUAUCAAAGCUGGGUUGGUUUUGAAUGUCCUGCACUAGGACAUGUUAAUUCUUGAACAUCGCCAAUCAUGUUUGUGGUCUGGAUGCUUUCAC
This 2153-nucleotide long non-coding RNA is filed under the name Zea mays. RNAcentral describes it as "long non-coding RNA (ZMAY_LNC002598)". Lineage: Eukaryota; Viridiplantae; Streptophyta; Magnoliopsida; Poales; Poaceae. The record is from RNAcentral.